AGAAACUUGUUCCCGGUGAGGGUGGCAGAGCCUGGCCCAGGCUGCCCAGGGGGUUGUGGAGUCUCCUUCUCUGCAGACAUUCCAACCCGCCUGGACACCUUCCUGUGUAACCUCAUCUGGGUGUUCCUGCUCCAUGGGGGGAUUGCACUGGAUGAGCUUUCCAGGGCCCUUCAACCCCUGACACUGGGAUUCUGGGAUUCUAUGAAGUGGUUAAACUAAGACUAAAUGAGUUCUAGCUGGUGAAAGGAGCAGCCCCUGCUCCCAGCAGCGUGUUUCUGCCCGGUUUGUCACCUCGGUCCCGGUGAUGAUUUGUCCCUCUCAGGAGCUGAAUCAGUUCCUGAAACCCAGCCUGGGAAGAAAGAAACUGCGGUGAACUCCGGCCCCGAAUGACUCGUCCAGGGUUGCGCAAGAGGAGCUGGGCCGGGCUGGAGCUCAGCGCCAGGUUAUUGCUCCAGAGAUAACCGAGAUCUGCUGCCCGGCACCGACACGGAGCCCAGGACCUCCUGCUGCCCCCAGUGAGCCGAGCCAGCCAACCACCUCCUGACCGCAGGGAUAAAAAUACCACUUAUUGUGGGCUUAGACCAGGAUAAAAAAGAACCGUAGAAUCAUUUUGGUUGGAAAAGACCUUUCGUAUAAUCUAGUCCAGCCGUUAACAGUCUUCAUAUCCAGCUGCUGGAAGGAUGAUGCCUGAUGUCAACAAAACGUGGUGGCUUUUGUCUGGAAAGCUUUUCACAACAUUUAAUGCAAAUUUAAGUUCCAUCUUCGUGUGCACACUAGUAUUAAAUUUCAGAGCCCCUGCUACGCAGAAUAUUUGAUUUACUUUCAACUUAAUGAUGCUGAGAAUGUUUGGAAGUGGUUAUAUUCAUUAAUAUGAACGCCAGCAUAGGUGAAACUACGUUUAUCCACAUUCAAGCUGGAAUUAAAUCAGUAACAGAAAGAAGGCUCAUAGGGGUUUCAUGGUAACGGUGCCAUCUGAGCUUUAGCUCAGCCGGGGGAGCUGAUGAACACAGGAGGAACUCCCGAUGCUGCAGCCGCUUCCUGGCUGAUUUUGGGGACUCUCUUGGGUACAGAUUCUGUAUGUUGUUUUUAGAUCUGGGCUGCUGCCCUCUCCCUGCUCCUCAGCGUUGCGAGGGCUCCAGAGCAACAAAGACGGUGCAUUUGUCUUAUCACCCCUCAUCCAGUGCUCCUUGGAGAUGAUUCAAGUCUGUUCCUUACCCCAAGGAGCCUGAAUCGUCAAGGUCAACAUGACAGCCGAGCACCAGAUCCCCCCAGAGCCUCGUGCUGUGUGUGGGGGCAGCUGGGACUGCUUGGCAGGAGGGACAAGGGCUGCCCUGUGCCGGUAACACUCAGCUCGUCACGCUCAAAGCCCAUUUAAAGGGCAGAGGGCGGGUGGUUGGGCGGCUUUUACCUUCCCGGGGGCAGUAGCUGGGCAGGCAGGUGUUGGCGUCCAGAAACGGAAUAUUUACCAUGGCCAAGGCCAUAAAUGGUUGCGUUUCAAGCUGCCCUCUGGUGGUUUGGGACAGAAGGACCGAGAUGAAGAUCUGGCGUCACUGACGUCACCUGCUCGGUAGAGACUCCGGGGAAAAUCACCGACUGAGCACCCUCGGCAUCGCACCCGAGAGCUGCCGGAGCUGAGUGACGUGAGAGCGGCGGGUGGGACGUGACGAGUCACAGGACGGGACACAGAAUGAGUCCCCCCUCAGUCUCCUCUUGUCCAGCUCCAGAGCCCCAGCUCCCUCAGCCUUUCCUCACACGGGAGAUGCUCCACACGGUGAGUGACUGGGUGGGAUACGGUGGGUGACAUGGUCAGCUGUGGGGUGGGACACGGUGGCUCCACUCCCGCAGCCUCCUGGGUGACCUGCAGUGGUGCUGGGGCCACGUUGCUGCUAAUUAAGCCUGAUUAGGACUAAAUGAAUGGGCUUUAAAGGUCACACAGACCAUCUGCAUGGGGGGGUGACGGGAUGUGUCAGGAUGAGGUGGUGGAGCAGGGAAACGCGGGUAAAGGCCUCAUAGGAACUUCUGCACCGUCUCUGGUAAGAGAAAGGCCUGAGCUCUGAGCACAGCUUUAGUGGCACCUUUAAUCCCUCACCAUCAGUAACACCUUGUACAUAAGCAUAAAAAUGAGCUAGGUAUUUACUAAAUUCCUGACUUUUAGGCUUUGUUACUCUAUCAGUUUUGAAUUUCAAGCUUUUCCUUUGUUUUGAAGAAGCCGGGAGCCUGCUGAGGGCUGUGUCGGGCAGCCGGGUUCCUGCCGGUACACAUGGGGAGCGUGUGUGCGCACGUCCGCUCGCUGCCGUGCCUCUGCCGCACCUCUCGGGCAGAGACACCCCGUGGGAAGGGUGCACACGUGUGAGUAAAACGCCCGAACCCCACAGCACAAGGAGCUGGUCCUGUCUGCACAGGCACUGGGGAUGCUGGUUGGAGCUGGACUGGCACUGGGCAGGUUUGUGUGGCUUAUUCCUGCCAGGGUGACCACAGAGACGUCUGAUGGGCUGGUGUUCCCCUGGGAGCCGUUGUAGUGCGUGAGCUGUGUGAAAAUAUAGGACAACUGCAAGUACCGUACUGACAUCUCCACAAAUCAUAGAAUCCUUUUGGUUGGAAAAGACCCUCAAGAUCAUGGAGUCCAACAAUUCCCCAGCCCUGUCCCUGCCCCAUGUCCUGAGAACCUCAUGUCCGUCUGUCCAGCCCUCCAGGGAUGGUGACUCCAGCACUGCCCUGGGCAGCCUGUUCCAAUGCCCCACAGCCCUUUGGGGAAGAAAUUGUUCCCACAUCCAACCUCAACCUCCCCUGGCGCAACUUGAGGCUGUUUUCUCUCAUCCUGUUGCUUGCUGCUUGAGAGCAGAGACCAGCACCCUCCAUCCUCCAUCCUCCUCUCAGAGGUCAGACAGGCAGGCCUGUAAUUUUCCAGAUCCUCAUCCUGAUCCUUCCUGUAGAUGUGCAUCACAUUCACCAACUUCCAGCCAACUGGGACCUCCCCAUGUCCAGCCUGAAUCUCCCUCCUUUAGUUUAAAACCAUCACCCCUUGUCCUACCACAACAGGCCCUUCUGUAAAGUCUGUCCCCAUCUUUCUUAUGGGCCCUUUUAAGUCCAGAAAGGCCUCACUAAGGUCUCCCUGGAGCUUCUCUUCUCCAGUGAACACCCCAGCUCUCUCACCUGUCCCCAGCAGAGCUGUUCCAGCCUCAGGUCAUUCCUGGGGCUCCUCUGGCCCCUCUGCAGCAGCUCCAUGUGUGUCCUGUGCUGGGGACCCAGAGCUGGACCAGCACUGCAGGGGGUCUCACCAGAGCGGGGCAGAGGGGCAGAAUCCCCCCAAACCUGCUGCCCACGGGGCUGGGGAUGCACCCCAGGGCACCAUUGGCUUCUGGGCUGUGAGCACACGUGGUGGCUCAUGGCCCCCAGCACCUCCGAGUCCUUCCCCACAGGGCUGCUCCACAUCCCUCCAUCCCCAGAUUGAUGCUGGGGGUGCAGGACCUUGCACUUGGCCUUGUUGAACAUCAGGAGGUUCACAUGGCCCCACUUCUCCAGCUUGUCCAGGUCCCUCUGGGUGGAUCCCAUCCCUCUGGAUGAAUCCCAUCCCUCAGGCGUGGGGGAAUAUGAUGCCUUCAUAGCAGGAGAAAGGCUCAUCCUCUGGCUUCUUCCUCUCCCCUGGGGAGUGUCUGACUCGGGCACCGCUUUUAGAAACUGCUGAGGCAUGGUCCUGGCAGCCAAGAGCUGCUGCUGGUUCCCUGCGAGGAGACGCGAGGGCCGGAUCCCCGGUGCGCUCCUGCGCUGACGGGAGCUCUGGCCGUGUCCGAGCAAUGUGGCUGCAGAGGAAAAGCCGCUCCGCUUGCUGAAAUAAAGAAGCGGGAGGAGGCAGAAGGGCUGGCGGGCAGACGGCCUGUGAUAUGGUUGCCUGGUCGCCGCCCUCUGUUUUUAUCCAGUUUGGUUUGGCCCAGCCUGGAGCACAGCAUUCCUGGCUUCAUCCCAACUGGUGGAGAUAUUGGGACGCGCAGGUGGCAGCCGAGGUCCCCACCGAGCGGUGGAUGAUGGUGACCCAGGAGGGGCUUGUGGCAGAUCCCCGGGGACGUUGAGCCCUGCGCCCGAGCUGGAGCCUCCUGUGCCAGCAAACGGCGAGUGAACGAGGAUCGAUCCAGCUGCAGGUCCUGGCUCGGAUGGCGGGGAGGAUGGGGUCUGCUGAGCUCUGCAGGCACGGGCAUCGCUGUGUGACGGGGACUGGACGCUCGGUGGCUCCUCUAGAGUCAAUCAGAGACACCGUGGGCACAGCUGCUGUGGCACUGGAACACAUCACACCCUCUUCUCACCUCAGGGUUUGCCUGUGGGUGGCUCUGAGGCCUGUCCUGUGUUGCGUUGCCUUCAAUCUUAACUCACCAGAGCGUGGAGCAGCAAUCGCAGCUUUCCAGCACCCAGACAUCUGGCUCUGAAGCACAAGGAAAAGCCUUUUCCAUGAUGCCGUAUUCCUCUGCACGUGUUCCACAUCAGGAGCGGGGCUUGGGGGCUAAACCAGAUAAAUCUGGGCCUGUGCUGGGUCUGCGGUUGGUACCCGAGCUCCAGGGAUGCUGUGAGUCCACCCAACACCAGCGGCCGUGACGGUGACCGCGGGUGCCGGCUCUGCCUGGCGUGGGGAGCGUCCACGGGGCGCACGGCACCUCCGGGAGCUCUGCCCGCGGCAGGUGAGCAGUGGUUGGGGUUCAGGGAUGCAGUGGUUGGGGUUCAGGGGUGCUGCUGUCCGUGCAUGGGUAGGACUGAGCCAUUGUUUGGGUUCAGGGGUGCUGUGGUUUGGGUUCAGGGGUGCUGUGGUUGGGGUUCAGGGGUACUGUGGUUUGGGUUCAAGGGUGCUGUGGUUGGGAUUCAGGGGUGCUGCCGUCCAUACAUGGGCAGGACUGAGCCGCAGUUUGGAUUCAGGGGUGCUGUGGUUGGGGUUCAGGCGUACUGUGGUUCGGGUUCAGGGAUGCUGUGGCUGAGGUUCAGGCGUGCUGUGGCUGGGGCUCAGGGGUGCUGUGGUUUGGGUUCAGGGGUGCUGUGGUUCGGGUUCAGGGGUGCUGUGGUUGGGGUUCAAGGGUGCUGUGGUUUGGGUUCAGGGGUGCUGUGGCUGGGGCUCAGGGGUGCUGUGGUUUGG
Columba livia (rock pigeon) is the source of this 5113-nucleotide long non-coding RNA. RefSeq lists it as uncharacterized. The record is from RefSeq and is a predicted model, not a curated record. NCBI's taxonomy places the organism in Eukaryota, Metazoa, Chordata, Aves, Columbiformes, Columbidae. The transcript has 3 exons.